GAAGAAGAGUGAGGGUGAGAGGAGGAGUACACAGAGGAGGAAGAGGCAGAGGCCGAGCCAGAGGUCGAGGAAGACCUGAAGCAGGAGGAGAACGUGCACAAAGAAGAAGAGGACCACACUUAUCAAAUGACAUUUGUGCAACACUAGUGGACCAUGUUGUGAACCACGGAUUGACGCUGAGGGAGGCUGGACUGAGAGUUCAGCCAAAUCUUAGCAGAUAUACAGUGGCAUCUGUCAUAAGGACUUUUCGUCAGGAAAACAGGAUUGAGGGUCGGGAACGACAAGGAGGAAGAGGGCCCAUAUUCACGCAAGAACAAGAGAGAGAGAUAAUUAACAUGGUUUUGGCCAAUAAUGCUAUCAGGCUCAGAGAACUACAAGCCAACAUUAUCGGUGACCAUGCCAUUUUCAAUAAUGUCCAUCAGGUCUCUCAGUCAACACUGGCACGCAUCCUGAAAAGACAUCAGGUUCAAAUGAAACAACUUUAUCGAGUGCCUUUUGAGCAGAAUUCAGAGAGGGUCAAACGGCUGCGGCAUGAGUAUGUGAAGGGAGUUUUGCAGAUGGAUGUUGAGGAAAUCCUGCAUGAAUUCACAUAUAUUGAUGAGGCAGGGUUCAACCUCACAAAAGCAAGAAGGAGAGGCAGAAAUAUCAUUGGCUACAGGGCUAUAAUCAAUGUCCCAGGGCAACGUGGGGGUAACAUCACCCUUUGCGCUGCCAUUUCACAGCAUGGGGUUCUCCUCCGUCAUGCCAAAAUGGGACCUUACAACACACCUCACAUUCUCACAUUUUUGGACCGAUUGCACCACAUCGUCACAGCAGAACUGGUUUCAACACCAUCCACAGUUGACAGUACUAUACCUUCCACCAUACUCUCCGUUUCUAAACCCUAUCGAAGAGUUUUUCUCUGCAUGGCGGUGGAAGGUUUACGAUCUCCAGCCCAGGCUCAGGUAUGCUGUCUCUGCCUUGCC
RNAcentral lists this long non-coding RNA (965 nucleotides) under Salmo salar (Atlantic salmon). Its description in RNAcentral is "lncRNA (ENSSSAG00000095815.1)". The record is from RNAcentral. Lineage: Eukaryota; Metazoa; Chordata; Actinopteri; Salmoniformes; Salmonidae.